GUGCAGCAGUCGAGAAUUUUUCUCAAUGGGCGAAAGCCUGAAGGAGCGACGCCGCGUGGAGGAUGAAGGCUUUCGGGUUGUAAACUCCUGUCAUUUGAGAACAAGUGUAGCCAAAUAACUACUGGCUACUUGAUAGUAUCAGAAGAGGAAGGGACGGCUAACUCUGUGCCAGCAGCCGCGGUAAUACAGAGGUCCCAAGCGUUGUUCGGAUUCAUUGGGCGUAAAGGGUGCGUAGGUGGCGCCGUCAGUGGGGUGUGAAAUUUCGGAGCUUAACUCCGAAACUGCAUUCCAUACUGCGGUGCUUGAGGACUGGAGAGGAGACUGGAAUUCAUGGUGUAGCAGUGAAAUGCGUAGAGAUCAUGAGGAAGACCAGUGGCGAAGGCGGGUCUCUGGACAGUUCCUGACACUGAGGCACGAAGGCUAGGGGAGCGAACGGGAUUAGAUACCCCGGUAGU
This 455-nucleotide ribosomal RNA is filed under the name uncultured organism. RNAcentral describes it as "bacterial SSU rRNA". It matches the Rfam family "Bacterial small subunit ribosomal RNA", at positions 346 to 794 of the family's 1533-position model. The record is from RNAcentral.